GAUGAACGCUGGCGGCGUGCCUAAUACAUGCAAGUCGAGCGAACGGACGAGAAGCUUGCUUCUCUGAUGUUAGCGGCGGACGGGUGAGUAACACGUGGAUAACCUACCUAUAAGACUGGGAUAACUUCGGGAAACCGGAGCUAAUACCGGAUAAUAUUUUUAACCGCAUGGUUCAAAAGUAAAAGACGGUCUUGCUGUCACUUAUAGAUGUAUCCGCGCUGCAUUAGCUAGUUGGUAAGGUAACGGCUUACCAAGGCAACGAUGCAUAGCCGACCUGAGAGGGUGAUCGGCCACACGGGAACUGAGACACGGUCCAGACUACUAAGGGAGGCAGCAGUAGGGAAUCUUACGCAAUGGGCGAAAGCCUGACGGAGCAACGCCGCGUGAGUGAUGAAGGUCUUCGGAUCGUAAAACUCUGUUAUUAGGGAAGAACAUAUGUGUAAGUAACUGUGCACAUCGUGACGGUACCUAAUCAGAAAGCCACGGCUAACUACGUG
Molecule: ribosomal RNA, 497 nt
Filed under: uncultured bacterium
Lineage: Bacteria
Description: partial 16S ribosomal RNA
Rfam family: Bacterial small subunit ribosomal RNA
Source: RNAcentral